UAUCAAAAAAAUUACAGUGGGCAUUAUCAAGAUACAGAGUUAGUUUUAUAUGAGAAAUAUACAUAUGAGGAUGUUUGGUAGUGGCGAGCGAAAGAGGAAGAGCCUAAACCAGAAGAAGUAAUUCAUCUGGGGUAAAGGACUACAUAAUUGAUUCAUAAGAUUUAGCAGAACUGUUUGGAAAAGCAGACCAAAGAUAGUGAAAGUCUAGUAAGCGAAAAAUCGAAUGACAUGGUAGAAUCCAGAGUAGUGCGAGACACGGGAAAUCUCGUAUGAAAAAGUGGGGACCACCCCAUAAGGCUAAAUACUACUUGGUGACCGAUAGUGAAGCAGUACCGUGAGGGAAAGGUGAAAAGAACCCCGGGAGGGGAGUGAAA
This is a non-coding RNA of Clostridiales bacterium 36_14, 374 nucleotides long. The record is from Rfam. NCBI's taxonomy places the organism in Bacteria, Bacillati, Bacillota, Clostridia, Eubacteriales.